This 374-nucleotide ribosomal RNA is filed under the name uncultured bacterium. RNAcentral describes it as "bacterial SSU rRNA". It matches the Rfam family "Bacterial small subunit ribosomal RNA", at positions 523 to 898 of the family's 1533-position model. The record is from RNAcentral.
AUACGGAGGGUGCGAGCGUUAUUCGGAAUUACUGGGUUUAAAGGGUGCGUAGGCGGCUAAGUAAGUUGUCAUUGAAAGGCUACAGCUCAACUGUAGUAGUGGUGGCGAUACUGCUUAGCUAAGAACAUGGGAGGGGUACUUGGAAUGUGUGGUGUAGCGGUGAAAUGCGUAGAUAUCACACAGAACACCAGAGGCGAAGGCGGAGUACUAGACCAUAGUUGACGCUGAGGCACGAAAGCGUGGGGAUCAAACAGGAUUAGAUACCCUGGUAGUCCACGCCCUAAACGAUGAUCACUAGAUAUUGGCGACAAACAGUCAGUGUCCAAGCGAAAGUGAUAAGUGAUCCACCUGGGGACUACGGCCGCAAGGUUAAA